AGCGAGAUGGCGCAGCUGGUAGCGCGCUGGGCUCAUAUCACGCAUACAAUGUGCAGGAUUUUGCAACCCAGAGGUCGUCGGAUCGAAACUGACUCUCGCUA
RNAcentral lists this transfer RNA (101 nucleotides) under Melampsora larici-populina 98AG31. RNAcentral's name for it is "tRNA-Met for anticodon CAU". It matches the Rfam family "tRNA". Rfam says of the family: Transfer RNA (tRNA) molecules are approximately 80 nucleotides in length. The record is from Rfam by way of RNAcentral. Lineage: Eukaryota; Fungi; Basidiomycota; Pucciniomycetes; Pucciniales; Melampsoraceae.